This 253-nucleotide ribosomal RNA is filed under the name uncultured bacterium. Its description in RNAcentral is "partial 16S ribosomal RNA". It matches the Rfam family "Bacterial small subunit ribosomal RNA", at positions 524 to 776 of the family's 1533-position model. The record is from RNAcentral.
UACGGAGGGGGUUAGCGUUGUUCGGAAUUACUGGGCGUAAAGCGCGCGUAGGCGGACCAGAAAGUUGGGGGUGAAAUCCCGGGGCUCAACCCCGGAACGGCCUCCAAAACUCCUGGUCUUGAGUUCGAGAGAGGUGAGUGGAAUUCCGAGUGUAGAGGUGAAAUUCGUAGAUAUUCGGAGGAACACCGGUGGCGAAGGCGGCUCACUGGCUCGAUACUGACGCUGAGGUGCGAAAGUGUGGGGAGCAAACAGG